This 808-nucleotide ribosomal RNA is filed under the name uncultured Pseudomonadota bacterium. Its description in RNAcentral is "bacterial SSU rRNA". It matches the Rfam family "Bacterial small subunit ribosomal RNA", at positions 58 to 869 of the family's 1533-position model. The record is from RNAcentral. Lineage: Bacteria; Pseudomonadati; Pseudomonadota.
CAAGUCGAGUGCGCGCCUGUAGCAAUACAGGUGGCGCACGGCGCACGGGUGCGUAACACGUGGGUAAUCUGCCCUUCGAAGGGGAAUAACUCGCCGAAAGGCGAGCUAAUUCCGCAUAACAUUCCGAGAACUUUGGUUUUUGGAUUCAAAGGCGUAAGUCGUCGGAGGAGGAGCCCGCGCACGAUUAGCUAGUUGGUAGGGUAACGGCCUACCAAGGCUAUGAUCGUUAGCUGGUCUGAGAGGAUGGCCAGCCACACUGGAACUGAGACACGGUCCAGACUCCUACGGGAGGCAGCAGUGGGGAAUCUUGCACAAUGGGCGAAAGCCUGAUGCAGCGACGCCGCGUGGGGGAUGAAGCUUCUCGGAGUGUAAACCCCUUUCGACCCGGACGAAUGCCCCGCAAGGGGACUGACGGUACGGGUAUAAGAAGCCCCGGCUAACUACGUGCCAGCAGCCGCGGUAAGACGUAGGGGGCCAGCGUUGCUCGGAAUUACUGGGUGUAAAGGGUUCGUAGGCGGUGUGGCAAGUCGGGAGUGAAAUCUCUGGGCUCAACCCAGAGUCUGCUUCCGAAACUGCUGUGCUUGAGUGUGGGAGAGGCGCGUGGAAUUGCAGGUGUAGCGGUGAAAUGCGUAGAUAUCUGCAGGAACACCCGUGGCGAAAGCGGCGCGCUGGACCACUACUGACGCUGAGGAAUGAAAGCUAGGGGAGCAAACAGGAUUAGAUACCCUGGUAGUCCUAGCCCUAAACGAUCAGGACUUGGGGUGCCACCCGUUCGGGUGUCGUCCCGGAGCUAACGCGUUAAGUCCUG